UAAGACGAGAAGACCCCAUGGAGCUUUAAACCCAAUUAUAUCUCUAACCACUAUAACCAUUUAACCACUUAGAACUUAUAUACUUGGUUUUAGGUUGGGGCGACCACGGAGCACAACCAAACCUCCACGAUGAACGGAACAACCCCCUUAUCUGAGAAUUACACUUCUAAGAAUUAGCACACUAACAUAAAAUGACCCAUUAUUGAUCAACGAACCAAGUUACCCUGGGGAUAACAGCGCAAUCCAUUUUAAGAGCCCCUAUCGACAAAU
This 270-nucleotide ribosomal RNA is filed under the name Mantidactylus catalai. RNAcentral's name for it is "partial 16S ribosomal RNA". Lineage: Eukaryota; Metazoa; Chordata; Amphibia; Anura; Mantellidae. The record is from RNAcentral.